CACUUUUCACCCGGUUAAUACAAGCGAAGGUGUAAAUAAGUAAAAGGGGUAGUAUUGGGGGGUAGUAUGAGGGGGUUUACUUGUGUUAAGGGAAAAUGUACAACCUACGCCUAGCCACCUCCCCCCGCAUACCUGAUACUAGAAAUUUGGGGUAUGGACAGGGAUUUGGUACCCCACUACUCCCAGAUGUAAAUUAGUGCCGGGGAACUACGGACAUAUGUCUAAAACCCAAAGAACUUGGCGGUGGUGCAGAUCAAUCUAGGGGAGCAUGACGGUUAAUUCGAUGGCCCACGAGAAUCUUACCUCUUUUUGCUAUCAGCUUGUAUACCGUCGUUGUCAGUCCCUCCUAUAAGGGAGUUUUAGGGGACCCAGCCUAUAGAUAUAAAAGUGUAUUUUAUACUACUAGACGACUUCAGAUAAACGUGCAGCCUAUGAAGAGGGCUUAGUUGUGCUACAAUUCUUUUAGAAAACGGGACUUUAUUUAUUCUUCUGAAAUGGAGGGGUUAAGGUGGACUUAGCAGUAAAAAAAUAGAAUGAAUUC
Molecule: ribosomal RNA, 541 nt
Filed under: Laternula japonica
Lineage: Eukaryota; Metazoa; Mollusca; Bivalvia; Laternulidae
Description: partial 12S ribosomal RNA
Rfam family: Bacterial small subunit ribosomal RNA
Source: RNAcentral